CAUACAGAGCAUGCACGACCGAAUAAACAGCUCGACAAUCGAUCUGAGUUAAAUGCAACUGAGUAGUAGGAAGUCAGGAACUGAUGCAUGGGUAUUGUUAAUUGCUCAGGUGUGGCCGGCGGAGGGCAACAAGAAGUUCGAGACCCUCUCCUACCUGCCACCUCUCUCCACGGACGAGGUCCUAAAGCAGAUCGACUACCUGAUCCGGAAGAACUGGAUUCCCUGCCUCGAGUUCAGCAAGAUCGGGUUCGUCUAUCGUGAGAACAGCACGUCUCCCUGUUACUACGACGGGCGCUACUGGACCAUGUGGAAGCUGCCCAUGUUCGGCUGCACCGAGGCCACCCAGGUGUACGCUGAGUUCGAGGAGUGCAAGAAGGCCUACCCCGACUGUUACAUCCGUAUCAUCGGCUUCGACAACAUCAAGCAGGUGCAGUGCGUCAUGUUCAUCGCCUACAAGCCCCCAGGCUCCGAGUAAGACCGGCGGCGCCAAAUAAGCUUAUCGCGCGGACCGCUCGCUCGUGAGCGACCGUGGAUGAAGUGUCUACUCGGUUUUGGCAACUUAAUUAUUUGACGCUCUGUUUAAAGUCGCCUGCUUGUUAAUUCCCUUUCUUUUCGUGUUUCCGUCCUGUGUGUAUGUACGAAUGUACAUGUAUCAACGUAGGCUGAGGAGCAUGCAUAUGUGAAUGCUAGCGCCGGCUAAACUUAUACGCAUACACAUCGUAAUAUAUUGUAUACGCAAUUCCUCCACUGCCUCAUCUUCUUGACGUAUAAUUAUAUAUCUAUGUACUAUCGGCUUGUUUGGUUGGAUGUAAUUGGUGGGUGGGAAAAAGAGUUUAGAUGCGAGAGAUUAAAAUUCUAUUAUUUGUUUAGUGGGCCUGGAAGUUUUAAUGGGACGAGAAAUGCCCACCAAUCAAUUCCCAUGGGGAGGGUGAGAAUUUGUUUUUUAAAAAGUAGAAGAUAAAUGCAUUUACAUUAUUAAUCAUGACUUAAUAUAUAACUAGCAAAAUGCCCGUGCAUUGCUAUGGUAAAAUAAUGCUAAUUGUAUUUUUAAAAACUUGUGGAUUUUUUCUGUUUCUACCACUAUAUGUUUAUUGCAUUUAGUGGAUCUAUACAUACAUCCUUAUACUCAAAAAAUCAUAUAUCCUUAUACUCAAAUAAUCAUUCAUUUCUAUCUUUUUAAUUUAUACAAGAGAUUUUCUAAGAUAAAAAAAUAGAUACAACGAUAUUGCACCCUACAAUGUAAGCAUAACUCUAAUUGUUUGUACCCUCUUAUCCGAAUUGAUGAAUACUAUAUUUCAUAUGGUCGAGCCUAGCUAACACCUGCUAGCUGAGUGUAACGUACACGUGUUAGCAGGCGUGAACACGUUCUAUUCAUUUCAAUCCAAAUGAUCCUUAAAGUUUGAAAACUAAACAUGUAGCAAAAAAAAUUUAAAAACAAUUAGCAUCAUGUGUGGAUGCAUGCACAAAAUUUGUGAGUCAAGAUUUUUUUUUAUACCAAGGAAAUAAAGGAACGUUACAUAUGACAGAUUUUAGUAAUUUGCUAAAUUAUUUGUAAUGCUCAAACAUUCAAAUAAAAAAUGUGCACCUACCACACAAGGGGAAUUUUCACCUCUAAACCCCCACGCCAAACAAAGGAUAUAAAGUCUCACUUAAACUCCCUGUUAAUUUCCUCCAAAAGACAAACAAGGGAAUGAGUAUUCCCAAGUGAAUCCCCUCCACCAGCUCUUACCACAAGUUCACAUGCCCCAUCCCAUUCAUUGCCAAUAGUACCCUAUAUGUAUUA
This 1783-nucleotide long non-coding RNA is filed under the name Setaria viridis. RNAcentral's name for it is "long non-coding RNA (SVIR_LNC003472)". The record is from RNAcentral. Lineage: Eukaryota; Viridiplantae; Streptophyta; Magnoliopsida; Poales; Poaceae.